Thalassophryne amazonica is the source of this 194-nucleotide long non-coding RNA. RefSeq lists it as uncharacterized. NCBI's taxonomy places the organism in Eukaryota, Metazoa, Chordata, Actinopteri, Batrachoidiformes, Batrachoididae. The record is from RefSeq and is a predicted model, not a curated record. The transcript has 3 exons.
UGUGAAUUAUUCAUUAGAACAGUGGGCAGGGCACACAAAGACAGAAGCUCUGACUCACUGGGUUGGUUUGUGAUCGCCUUUGAUUCUACUCGGAAGCAUCGGCGGUGCUUAAAUUCAAAACUGGCUUGUCAGGAGCUGACAGUGUACUGGAGUCAAUACUAAAACUUAGCAGUUAGCUGUAGCUUCUGCUAUUU